AUUGAACGCUGGCGGCAUGCUUUACACAUGCAAGUCGAACGGCAGCGCGGGCUUCGGCCUGGCGGCGAGUGGCGAACGGGUGAGUAAUGCAUCUGAACGUGCCCAGUAGUGGGGGAUAGCCCGUCGAAAGCCGGAUUAAUACCGCAUACGACCUGAGGGUGAAAGCGGGGGACCGAAAGGCCUCGCGCUAUUGGAGCGGCCGAUGUCGGAUUGGCUAGUUGGUGGGGUAAAGGCUUACCAAGGCGACGAUCCGUAGCUGGUCUGAGAGGACGACCAGCCACACUGGGACUGAGACACGGCCCAGCCUCCUACGGGAGGCAGCAGUGGGGAAUUUUGGACAAUGGGGGCAACCCUGAUCCAGCCAUGCCGCGUGCGGGAAGAAGGCCUUCGGGUUGUAAACCGCUUUUGUUCGGGAAGAAAUCCUCUGGGCUAAUACCCCGGAGGGAUGACGGUACCGGAAGAAUAAGCACCGGCUAACUACGUG
RNAcentral lists this ribosomal RNA (484 nucleotides) under uncultured bacterium. Its description in RNAcentral is "partial 16S ribosomal RNA". It matches the Rfam family "Bacterial small subunit ribosomal RNA", at positions 28 to 507 of the family's 1533-position model. The record is from RNAcentral.